UUUUUUUGGUGAUUACUAAAGAGAAACCGGUCUUCUCUCCCUUUAGUCAAAUGACAAAGAGCUGGGGCAGUUGGAUAAAAGCCUUUUAACAACCUGAACGAGAGGAACAGGGAAACCUGCUCCUUUAGCUGUGGCAAAGAUGUGGCAGGUCACAUCUCAGGCCUUUGCUGGUAGCAGCAUGUGGGGGGUGGCCAUGUACUUUGAAUCAUUAGCACGUCAAUUAUACUAUCACGCUGGCUACUCCUAGUUCACUGCGCAGAGGGAUGUUCUCCUUUCACUCUACCCUUUUUUUCAUCACUCAGCUCCAGUUGUACCUUCUUUGAGAAGCUUCUACAAACAGCCCAGUUGGAAGUGCUCUGUCCCCACUGUUAAUCCUCUUGUUUCUCACCGUUACGCUCUUAGUUUUCCAUUGUUACAUGUGAGUUGUCCACGAGGAUACAUGCAUAAGUAUGAGAAUAUAUACCCCUUCCUCAGCAAUUAGCACAGAGAAUUGAAUUAAGCAGUACAAAGGUUUUCAGUUUUAGGUUUACCUGAUUACCCCUUACUAUACUCAAAUGCAUCCCAAUACUUCUGUACUCCUAAAUCAACUGACAACCUUUAAGCAUAUGCUCUUUUGCUAGGUCUUGAAGAGGAGGCACAACUGCCUUCAUAUGAGUCCAGUGUGUGUUGUCAAAAUGUAACUUUUGAAUUGUUCUAAAGCCACAGUAAGAGAACAGACAGAUGAUCUGAAAGGAUGGUGUGUAUAGUCUGAGACUAUUAAAUUUGAGUCCAGCAAUAAAAUCCAGUUUAAAUGGUGUGACCAUAUGACAUGGUUCAGCCAGCAGAAUGUUGAGUGGAAGCGAUGUAACUUUGGAGGCAAAGAUGUAAGAGCCAGUGAGUGGUCUGCCAUGUUGCCUUCCUACUGCUGCAGAGAUCUUGGAAAUUCCUGGCAAGAUGAAGCCUCCAUCAUCUGGGUUCCUGGGGAACUCUGAUCAGCCUCUGCUGACCCAUGUUAGACAUGCAGUGUGAGUGAAAAAUAAACUUUUGCUUAAUUAAGCCACUGAGAUUGUACAGGAGGUGGGUGGGUGGGGGGUUAUUACUACAGUACACCUUAGUUCUGCCUAAGUAGUAAAUAUAUAGAUGAGAAGUCACAACCCAAAUAAAAUAGCUGCAAAUUAACUGAGCCCCAUUUUACUGUGCUAUAUGGCUGCUGAUGGGUGGAAAACCUAUGAGUAGGACCAAAAUCGCUCCUUAAGAGAGAUAUAUAAAGCAAACAUCUUACUGGUUCUAAAAGAAAGUAGCCACAACUCAUUGCAUAUAUUUUGAAUAUAUUCAUUCAAUUAAUAUAUUCCAGUGAAUACAUUUAAUACCCCCCUCCCACUAUAAAUAUAACUUUAAAUCCACUUGUUUUUUUAAAACAAUUAUCCCAGUAACAUCCUCACUACCCCUAAAGUUUUGUAAUAAACAGAAGAUAUCAAAUGCCUUUCAAUUCACAGCACAGAUAAAUUUCCCUCCAACCUCAUGUUGGAGAGAAAACUUGUGUUUGGUAAAACUGUUUAGCACUGUACAGGAAAAACAAAAAAACCCUGAGAUAGUCUUCUAUGAAGGGACCAAGCCACUCAAAAGAAAUGAAGGUUGAAACUGAUGUUUUCACUUGCAAAUAGAACACUGUUCAACCCCUGGGGACACUGGCUGGGAUUCCUCGUUCUGCACUGAUUUUUCACUUCUGCCUCCACUGAUGUGAGCAUUGGCAUCAAGCAGACAUCCUGCAGGCCUGACCAAGCAGCCUGCCAGUUUGACCCCUGCAGAGCUCAGAUUUCCUGUGUGAUAAAUGGCUUUUUUCAGUGGCUCAGCUCUGACUGCUGUCCUUCCCUGUGACGGGGAGGCACUGCCAAAUGGGAACUCCUGAGGCAGAGCUUUUCAAUUUGGGUCUGGGGUACUGAGGGGUGCAGAGAAUGGAGAGUUAAUGCUUGGAGAAGUUAUUUCCAAAUGGAAGCUGGGAGCUUCCUGGCUGAGUGACCAAACAGCUGCGUGAAAACAGAAGGGCUGUCAAUAUUAUGAAUGAAAAUGUAAAAUAACCUUUGUAACCUGAUUUGCAGGUCUCCUUCCAGACACAACUGAGCUCAACAAAUUGGUGCUGAGUGACUGAGAGAGGCAUGUAGUCCUAGCCCCAGCUUUGACUGUAAUCAGCUGUGUCGACCUUGUUCAAGUCAGCCCUCUGGGCCUCCAUCCCCUCACCAGGAGAAUACUGGUCAUUUUAAUAAAUGGACCCAGCAACUAGGUGGUCACUAUUUUUAGCACGGAGGUGAAGACUGUAUCUGUUGGUAGGGGUAGGGGCUAAGUGGAAUAAGGGUUUCAUUUCUCAGGAAAGCACAUUAGCCAGUGAGGGUCUGUUGGCAUCUGACAUGUUGACAAGUUCUCUUGCAUAGAACUAAUAUUCUUUGGGAUCACAUAUGGAUUGCAGUGAGGAAAGGAUGAACCUGUACUCUUUCUGUACCUGAUGAUCAACUGAAAUCUCUCUCCCUUUGACUCUGCUUAGUUGCCCCAGUUGAAAGGUUUUGGGUCAGCACAGCUUAUCUCUAGAAUCACAGUGACUUCUGGGCCAGGACCACUUCAAGGAUUUAGGUAUGUUCUGGGCUAGGGCAGUAGAAUCUAUUUUGGGAUUUCCCAGAGCCAUUCAAAGCUUACCCCAGAAUGAAUUCAAACUCUGAGAGGACAUAUCCUCUCCCCGCCCCCGCACCCCCCCCCCUUUUUUUUUUUGAGGAAGAUUUUAAAAAGAGUUGUUGAAGCCUAAUGAUUAUCAGGGGUAUGAGGAUUAUCAGGGGUAUGAGGGUAGAAUGAGAGAGACAGAGAGAG
This 2835-nucleotide long non-coding RNA is filed under the name Homo sapiens (human). RNAcentral describes it as "HSALNT0380676". Lineage: Eukaryota; Metazoa; Chordata; Mammalia; Primates; Hominidae. The record is from RNAcentral.